This is a non-coding RNA of Doryrhamphus excisus (bluestripe pipefish), 984 nucleotides long. The record is from RefSeq and is a predicted model, not a curated record. Lineage: Eukaryota; Metazoa; Chordata; Actinopteri; Syngnathiformes; Syngnathidae.
AGUAUCCUCCUAUUCAUCCUCCAUGAACGAGAAGUAUCCUUCUAUUCAUCCUCCAUGAACCAGGAAGUAUCCUUCUAUUCAUCCUCCAUGAACCAGGAAGUAUCCUUCUAUUCAUCCUCCAUGAACCAGGAAGUAUCCUUCUAUUCAUCCUCCAUGAACGAGAAGUAUCCUUCUAUUCAUCCUCCAUGAACCAGGAAGUAUCCUUCUAUUCAUCCUCCAUAAAUCAGGAAGUAUCCUGCUAUUCAUCCUCCAUGAACCAGGAAGUAUCCUGCCAGCUAACAAAUACAUGGACAAAAGAAUGCAAGCAUGGCGCCCCAAGAUUUGUAUUUCAUUUUCUUUUAGGCAAUUGAGUCAUGAUGAAACUGUUCCACCCAUCUCAGAAAUUUAAAAAAAUGACAAAAAAUGACAUUUUUAAACCAGGAAGUAGCCUGCUUGCUAAUAUGGCUGCCCAGUAUUCCUCUCUGUUUAUGUCUAACAUCUUUUCUGAGUAACUUGCUUGAACACAUUUUUAUUGGGCUGUAACGUGUGUGUUGUUUGCUUUCUGAGGAUGCUGAGAUGAGUCAGCCCAUCAGAGUAGACCAGUAUCACCGCCGGCCACAUGAAAAAGCUGCCUGAUACCUCCACCUCCAUGCUUCCUCGUCCUCCAGGAGCAAAGCAGGGAAUCCAUCCAUGAGGUGGGGGCGGAAGUAGCGUGCCGACAUCCGUAAGCUGAGCGAAUGCAAAGCUGUACACGGAUGAAGGAGGCAGGGAAGGAGAGAAGAAAGAGGAGUGGAAAAGCUGCAUUGCUCCCUCUGAGGUCAGUUUUGGAAGCGAGCCCUGGGCCGGCAAAGUAAAAACCUGAAAUAUGUGCCUUAAUGGCUGUCCUCGCGCUGCCCUUUAGUGAUACGUGCUGCUGCGCUGAGUCAAACACGGGGCGAAGUGGGAAAUCAACACUGACAUAUUUGCAUAUGCUCACAGUUUGCUCUUCGCCGAGAGCAAAUGUGC